Molecule: ribosomal RNA, 252 nt
Filed under: uncultured bacterium
Lineage: Bacteria
Description: partial 16S ribosomal RNA
Rfam family: Bacterial small subunit ribosomal RNA
Source: RNAcentral
UACGUAGGGGCUAGCGUUGUCCGGAAUCAUUGGGCGUAAAGCGCGUGUAGGCGGUCCGGUAAGUCCGCUGUGAAAGUCGAGGGCUCAACCCUCGAAUGCCGGUGGAUACUGUCGGGCUAGAGUGCCGAAGAGGCGAGUGGAAUUCCUGGUGUAGCGGUGAAAUGCGCAGAUAUCAGGAGGAACACCUAUUGCGAAGGCAGCUCGCUGGGACGUUACUGACGCUGAGACGCGAAAGCGUGGGGAGCAAACAGG